UACUCAGGAUAUGGAGAAAACCCACUUGUUUCUUGAGUGGGGAAUGUCACUUUUUAAAAUUUUCUUUGUUUGUAGGCUGGAGAGAGCUAGGUCCUCUCAGAUCCAAGCCCUGGGGACAUCUUGCCUUCCACAAGUUCACUCAGAUAUGUAACACUUCUGAACUGAAAAUCAGGUGCCAGACGCUAGGCUGGACACAGAGGAUACCAGUGCUAUAUCCUGAGUCAGUCCAGUUUCACCCUAGGUACAGAGCCCUUACAGAGAAGCCGGCAUUGGCCUUUGGCACAGCUCAGCAAGCAAGCUCCCCACACUGAAGUUUGAAUUUUGGUCGCGUGUCCUUAUUUGCUGAUGCUAGGGAACACCGGCUUCUCAACGAUCCACAGAGCUCACCAGAGGACGACUCAUUGCCCAACAUGAUUGCCUAUUUUUAUCCUCGA
Long non-coding RNA from Canis lupus familiaris (dog), 434 nucleotides. RefSeq lists it as uncharacterized. The record is from RefSeq and is a predicted model, not a curated record. The transcript is spliced from 3 exons. Lineage: Eukaryota; Metazoa; Chordata; Mammalia; Carnivora; Canidae.